UCUAAGUAGAAACGAUUUGAUCGUGAAACCGCGAACGGCUCAUUACAACAGCCAUAAUCUACUUGAUCUUGACACAUCCUAUACGGAUAACUGCGGUAAUUCUGGAGCUAAUACGUGCAACACGCCUCUGACCUUCGGGAAAGGGUGCAUUUAUUGGACGAAGACCAACGUCGUUCCUUCGGGUUCGGCUAGCGGUGACUCAGAAUAACUUAGCUGAUCGCAUGGCCUUGUGCCGGCGACGUGUCUUUCGAGUGUCUGCCCUAUCAACUUUGUCGGUAGUGUCACGGACUACCGUGGUUGUGACGGGUAACGGAGAAUUAGGGUUCAACUCCGGAGAAGGGGCCUGAGAAAUGGCCACUACGUCUAAGGAUGGCAGCAGGCGCGCAAAUUACCCACUCUCGGAUAGAGGAGGUAGUGACGAGAAAUAACGUGGCUUCCACCUUCGGGUGUGUAGUUGCGGAAUGGGUUGAACACAAACCCUUCAGCGAGUAUCAAGCAGAGGGCAAGUCUGGUGCCAG
This 518-nucleotide ribosomal RNA is filed under the name Nematoda environmental sample. RNAcentral's name for it is "bacterial SSU rRNA". It matches the Rfam family "Eukaryotic small subunit ribosomal RNA", at positions 58 to 570 of the family's 1831-position model. Lineage: Eukaryota; Metazoa; Nematoda. The record is from RNAcentral.